UGCCUGCCCGGUGAUUUUAAUAUUAAACGGCCGCGGUAUUUUUGACUGUGCGAAGGUAGCAUAAUCAUUUGCCUUUUAAUUGGGGGCUGGAAUGAAUGGCAAGACAGAGGCUGUGCUGUCUUUUCUUUGGUUUCUUGAAUUUAAUAUUGUUGUGAAGAAGCGACUAUUUGGCUGUAGGACGAGAAGACCCUGUCGAGCUUUAUUUUAGGAGCGGUUGUUUUGAAAAGUUGUGUUACUGCAGGCUAAUUUUUUUAUUACAUGAAAAAGUGAAGUUAUUUGGAGUGCGCAGAGUAGAGGGCUGUUUUUAUUGUUUGGUUGGGGCAACCGCGGAGAAUAUGAAUCCUCCGUUAUUAGUAAUAAUUUGGAAAAAUAACUAUUUUGUUAGGUAAAAGUGAUUCGAAUAGAGAUCCACUAGAAAGUAGUGAUUAAAGGAAAAAGUUACCGCAGGGAUAACAGCGUUAUUUCUUUGGAGAGUUCGUAUUGAUAAAGGAGUUUGCGACC
RNAcentral lists this ribosomal RNA (501 nucleotides) under Echinaster sentus. RNAcentral's name for it is "partial 16S ribosomal RNA". It matches the Rfam family "Bacterial large subunit ribosomal RNA", at positions 1856 to 2525 of the family's 2925-position model. RNAcentral also lists the same sequence under 1 other name. The record is from RNAcentral. Lineage: Eukaryota; Metazoa; Echinodermata; Asteroidea; Spinulosida; Echinasteridae.